CCCAGUGCAAUUCGUUGCACUAUCGUUAACUGAAUACAUAGGUUAACGAGGCGAACCGGGGGAACUGAAACAUCUAAGUACCCCGAGGAAAAGAAAUCAACCGAGAUUCCCCCAGUAGCGGCGAGCGAACGGGGAGCAGCCCAGAGUCUGAAUCAGCUUGUGUGUUAGUGGAACGGUCUGGAAAGUCCGACGGUACAGGGUGAUAGUCCCGUACACCAAAAUGCACAGGCUGUGAACUCGAAGAGUAGGGCGGGACACGUGGUAUCCUGUCUGAAUAUGGGGGGACCAUCCUCCAAGGCUAAAUACUCCUGACUGACCGAUAGUGAACCAGUACCGUGAGGGAAAGGCGAAAAGAACCCCGGCGAGGGGAGUGAAAAAGAACCUGAAACCGUGUACGUACAAGCAGUGGGAGCACCUUCGGGUGUGACUGCGUACCUUUUGUAUAAUGGGUCAGCGACUUAUAUUCUGUAGCAAGGUUAACCGUAUAGGGGAGCCGCAGGGAAACCGAGUCUUAACUGGGCGUUAAGUUGCAGGGUAUAGACCCGAAACCCGGUGAUCUAGCCAUGGGCAGGUUGAAGGUUGGGUAACACUAACUGGAGGACCGAACCGACUAAUGUUGAAAAAUUAGCGGAUGACUUGUGGCUGGGGGUGAAAGGCCAAUCAAACCGGGAGAUAGCUGGUUCUCCCCGAAAGCU
Molecule: ribosomal RNA, 695 nt
Filed under: Klebsiella aerogenes
Lineage: Bacteria; Pseudomonadati; Pseudomonadota; Gammaproteobacteria; Enterobacterales; Enterobacteriaceae
Also listed under: 1 other name
Description: partial 23S ribosomal RNA
Rfam family: Bacterial large subunit ribosomal RNA
Source: RNAcentral